CUUAACACAUGCAAGUCGAGCGGUAACAUUUCUAGCUUGCUAGAAGAUGACGAGCGGCGGACGGGUGAGUAACACUUAGGAAUCUACCUAGUAGUGGGGGAUAGCACGGGGAAACUCGUAUUAAUACCGCAUACGACCUACGGGAGAAAGGGGGCAUCUUGAUGCUCUCGCUAUUAGAUGAGCCUAAGUCGGAUUAGCUAGAUGGUGGGGUAAAGGCCUACCAUGGCGACGAUCUGUAGCUGGUCUGAGAGGAUGAUCAGCCACACCGGRACUGAGACACGGUCCGGACUCCUACGGGAGGCAGCAGUGGGGAAUAUUGGACAAUGGGGGMAACCCUGAUCCAGCCAUGCCGCGUGUGUGAAGAAGGCCUUUUGGUUGUAAAGCACUUUAAGCAGUGAAGAAGACUCWWYGGUUAAUACCCRKWGACGAUGACAUUAGCUGCAGAAUAAGCACCGGCUAACUCUGUGCCAGCAGCCGCGGUAAUACAGAGGGUGCAAGCGUUAAUCGGAAUUACUGGGCGUAAAGCGAGCGUAGGUGGCUUGAUAAGUCAGAUGUGAAAUCCCCGGGCUUAACCUGGGAACUGCAUCUGAUACUGUUAGGCUAGAAUAGGUGAGAGGAAGGUAGAAUUCCAGGUGUAGCGGUGAAAUGCGUAGAGAUCUGGAGGAAUACCGAUGGCGAAGGCAGCCUUCUGGCAUCAUAUUGACACUGAGGUUCGAAAGCGUGGGUAGCAAACAGGAUUAGAUACCCUGGUAGUCC
Molecule: ribosomal RNA, 756 nt
Filed under: Psychrobacter sp. AD-C11
Lineage: Bacteria; Pseudomonadati; Pseudomonadota; Gammaproteobacteria; Moraxellales; Moraxellaceae
Description: bacterial SSU rRNA
Rfam family: Bacterial small subunit ribosomal RNA
Source: RNAcentral